GGGAAACUUACCAGGUCCA
This 19-nucleotide non-coding RNA is filed under the name Arabidopsis thaliana (thale cress). The record is from RNAcentral. Lineage: Eukaryota; Viridiplantae; Streptophyta; Magnoliopsida; Brassicales; Brassicaceae.